AGAAAUGAUCCCUACCUUCUGUUCUCAUCCUUCAAUCUCAUCGGGAGAUGUCGUUAUAGGAAGGGUUUGGUCUAGCUCCUCCUCUGAUCCUUUAUCAAACUCACUUUCUGUACAAUUGUUUCACAAGCUGCUUCUGGAUUUUUGUUAUUUGGUGAAUCUGCAGUGGCUUCUUUUCUUCAUGGAGUGAAAGUGUUUGUCUGAGGAUGUCAAGGAUGACGACACCGGUCAGCUUGUUUCAUAAAACACGGAUGUUUGGGCUUUUUGGAGGACUGAUAAUCCUUUUGCUGUUUCUUUUUUCUUGGUUGAGAUGAUGAACUAGUAGUCUUUUAGGGGAUGGGCUGAAAAUUUGCUGGUCUUUAUUGGAAUUUGUUCUUUGUUUUUUUUUUUUUUUAUCUUUGCAGAUUGAUUAUCAUCUAGUCCUGAUCCUCUCACGGGUCGGAGUUUUGCUAGACUCGACUAAGUGGUGAUCUGGUGCGAGCUGAUGAUUGUCUGAAGUUGGAUAAGCUCUUUCACCUCUGGAGGCGGUUAUCGGUUUGAUUGAAAUUUGUUCUCCAGUCCCAUAAUUUUCCAAUUAAUGCAAAACCUGAUUCUCAUUCCUUCGGAGUUCGGUGUUUUAUUGAUGUAUGACCUGUGAUGGUUCUUUGCAAGGUGUAUGCAUCACAACAGAUUACUAUCUAAUACGGAUCCGCUUGCUGGUGUUUCCUUCCCAGAAAUAGUCCCUUCCUCAUGUUCUCUUCGUGCAUCUAUGAUUGUGCAUGCAUUCCUCAAUCGGCUGACACCCUUACUCUUCAAAGGAGACAUCGUUCCUGAAAACGCACUCCUGGCCUGUCUUCUUUUCUUUUUAUUUCUUGAUUGGUUUUAAAAUCAGUCUGAUUCUGUUUACGCUAUGUUAUUUUCUGAAGGAAUGCCUGGCCUCUCUUGGACUCUGCCAUGUUGUGGGCAGUGUUAAGUGGUUUCUUUCUUCUCGGAGCAAUCAUUUUCUCUGAGGAUGAUGUCUGAGAGGACAAUGAAUAUGAUCCAGCUGGACAAACGAUGGACUGAAAUUUUGACAACCUUCUAGGCUUCUUUUUCAAAUGGAAAGUUUUACUGGUUUUGACAGCUGGUGAUCUGUUGCGUUUUCUGUGGGGCUGAGUUGAUAAUUGUUCAAAAUUGUAUGAGCUCCUGCUUCCCGGAUUUUAGGCAGUUAUUGGUUUGAAUGGAACUUGUCCUGUCCUUCUGUUAUUUCUUUGUUAAUCCGAAAGAUCAGAUCUAGUUCUCUUCCCUUUGCAGAUCAGAUUUUGGUCGAGGCAAUACUUUACGUGGCCAAGUUCGAUAUGGAGUGUCUAUGAUCUGUGAUGUUCUUUCUUGCUGCAUAAACAUCAAUUUCUGAUUUGUCUUCCACUUAUGUUAUCGUCUAGUUAAGGUGGUUAUCAUCUAGUUGAGGUGGAACAAUCAGUUAUUCUCUUUUCUUCGCAGGUCAUAGUUUGGUCAAGGCAAUACCUUACCUCGUCAAUUUCGAGAUGGAGUGUCUGUGGUCCAUGAUGGUUCUUUCUUGCUGCAUAAGAAUUAAUUCAUAGGACAAGCUCUCCUUUCAGAGUGCUUUCUUGUCUGAAAAGUUCUACACAAUUGGUUUCAC
Long non-coding RNA from Eucalyptus grandis, 1615 nucleotides. RefSeq lists it as uncharacterized. The transcript has 3 exons. NCBI's taxonomy places the organism in Eukaryota, Viridiplantae, Streptophyta, Magnoliopsida, Myrtales, Myrtaceae. The record is from RefSeq and is a predicted model, not a curated record.